AUACUUACCUGGCAGGGGAAAUACCAUGAUCUCGAAGGUGGUUUUUCUAGAGCAAGACUUAUUUAUCGCACUCCGGAUGUGUUGAUCCCUGCUAUUUCUCCCAAUGCGGGAAACUCGACUGCGCAAUUUGUGGUAAUGGGGGACUGCGUUCGCGCUUUCUCCUG
Molecule: small nuclear RNA, 164 nt
Organism: Bos grunniens (domestic yak)
Lineage: Eukaryota; Metazoa; Chordata; Mammalia; Artiodactyla; Bovidae
Gene: U1
Rfam family: U1 spliceosomal RNA
About the family: U1 is a small nuclear RNA (snRNA) component of the spliceosome (involved in pre-mRNA splicing). Its 5' end forms complementary base pairs with the 5' splice junction, thus defining the 5' donor site of an intron.
Source: Ensembl